Molecule: long non-coding RNA, 284 nt
Filed under: Nicotiana benthamiana
Lineage: Eukaryota; Viridiplantae; Streptophyta; Magnoliopsida; Solanales; Solanaceae
Description: long non-coding RNA (NBEN_LNC033980)
Source: RNAcentral
UGAUUUCACUGUAAGUAUUUGUCUGGGGUUUUGGUAAUUGGUAAAUAAAAUCUGUCCUUUUAGGUAUGGGUUGCUCUGGUCUAAGUUGGAUAUUGAAGGUUUGAGUUUUUUAGCUUGGUGAGUAGUUACUUCUAUCCCUUUUCCUAUAUUAUCUUUUUUGUCAUAUUUUUCUUGGCUAAUUGUUAUCUCUUUAAAUUCUUGUAGGUCUAUUUCUUGCUCUUUUUUGCUAUCUUCCAUAUGGCUAAUUCUGCUUUCCGGCUUUUCAAUAGUUUUCUCCAUUCCUU